UUUACGAUUAUGAUUGUGUCUCCUUAUGGAUUUUGUCUUGUCUCAUGAGCCGGACGCCUUGCCGAAUUCCUCGGCCGGACGCCUUGCCCAUCCUCUGAAAUCUGAAAGAUAACGCAUUGAAAUAUCUGCGUUGAAAGUAGUUUGGUUAAGUUAAAAGUUAAAAAGUGGUCAAGUAAACGUCUCAAGCCGAAAGCCGUAAGCCAGCCAGUCAGCUUUGAUAAAUAGAAACUAAUUACACUACUGAUGGGCGACGGGGCCAGUCGACGAGGCCUUCGAAGGCCGCGUUGUCGCGAUACAGUCUCUUGGGGUACAGCGGCCGUCGCCCGUCUGGACAGCUCGGCCGGGGAGAUGGCCUAACCUUUAUCUGACACGCUGACACGCCUAGCGCGGGGCGCGGGGCACGGGGCGGCCCCCUUACUGGGGGGGUAGGCACCUCCCAGUAGGUGCCCCUGCGUGUCGGUAUCCCCGAUUUCUCGCCAGCCCCUGCUUUCCCCCAUGCACCGCGCCUACCUAUAGCUGCGUAAUGAUUAUAUGCAUGCAUGGGCCGCGGCGAAUCGGCGCGUGAAGCCCCGGCGGUAUCGAAAUGGGACUUUACGUGUUCCUGACCCGCCUAGCCUCCUGCCGCCUGCGUGUCGGUGUCCCCGAUUUCUCGCCAGCCCCUGCUUUCCCCCAUGCACCGCGCCUACCUACAGCUGCUAUUUAAUCGCAAAAGGUGCCGCGUACCUCAUAACUGAAGCCUGGGAUGACAGCGUAUGAUAACUCGAACACACAGGCAUUCUGACUUGCCACCAGCAGGCCGACAAAUUUGCUUUCAUUAUGGCUGCUUGCAUAACAAAUUGCGGGUGCGAGGCGAAGUGCAGUCUUGCGUACGGCUAAAGUCGCAAGUUGCAAGUCGCAACUCCCAGCUCGCAACUCGCAAGGAACUCACAUAAUUUUUAUUAUCCUUUCUUACGCGAAUACAUACGUGAACCACGCCUGUAGGGUGUAAACACAGCGCAUUUGUGGCGUCCGCGUCUGCAGCCGAUCGCAGGCGCAACUAUGCUGAAGUGGCUUGCGGCCUAUGUGGCUUCAUCUGUCUGAGCAAUGCAAUGUAGCUGUUCAUACGCACAAGCUCACUCAGGCCUCAUCUGGUAACAACGUGCAAGUUCUUAUCAGUAUUUGCUUAUGGGCCUUCUGGUGGGGUUCCGAGGACUUUCGCCAAUUGGGGAGUCUAAUGGCAAAUUCCCCUGUGGUUGCGGGUUCUGAGCCUGCCCUUGGAUUUGCUUUUGGCUGUCUAGGUGACUUGCGUUGUCUGGUCUCGGUGGGAAUCUUGUUUGCCCUCAUUGUAUCAGGUGCAGUGCACGGCCUGCUGGCCCGCUGGCUGUACUCUUUGUGAGUCUGGAGCCCACUGUAACAACCACACUGCCUCGAGGCAUCCCUAGCCCCGGCGGUGAACUGAUAGGAACUAGCCUAGUCCACACAAGUUCCGCACAAGUGUGGGGGUGUCCGUAAAAGCCGGGGGGCAAAUGGGCGGUAAAUCGUUUUUAGGUUACGUGGUGGACCAUCAUCGUCCACCCUCGUGCACUUGAGCACGAAGCGCCAUAGAGCAACGUGCCUGGUCUCCUAGACUUUCGAGAGGAACCUGGCUAGUGCCAGGGGUGGGG
This 1643-nucleotide long non-coding RNA is filed under the name Volvox carteri. RNAcentral's name for it is "long non-coding RNA (VCAR_LNC003484)". The record is from RNAcentral. Lineage: Eukaryota; Viridiplantae; Chlorophyta; Chlorophyceae; Chlamydomonadales; Volvocaceae.